UCAGUUUCUAGAACAGUGCCUAGCACGGAGC
RNAcentral lists this non-coding RNA (31 nucleotides) under Mus musculus (house mouse). Lineage: Eukaryota; Metazoa; Chordata; Mammalia; Rodentia; Muridae. The record is from RNAcentral.